CGGGGCGUGGCGCAGUCCGGUAGCGUGCUUGAAUGGGGUUCAAGAGGUCGACGGUUCGAAUCCGUCCGCCCCGA
Molecule: transfer RNA, 74 nt
Filed under: Anaerolineaceae bacterium
Lineage: Bacteria; Bacillati; Chloroflexota; Anaerolineae; Anaerolineales; Anaerolineaceae
Also listed under: 3 other names
Description: tRNA-Pro
Rfam family: tRNA
About the family: Transfer RNA (tRNA) molecules are approximately 80 nucleotides in length. Their secondary structure includes four short double-helical elements and three loops (D, anti-codon, and T loops).
Source: RNAcentral